Homo sapiens (human) is the source of this 5113-nucleotide long non-coding RNA. RefSeq lists it as uncharacterized. NCBI's taxonomy places the organism in Eukaryota, Metazoa, Chordata, Mammalia, Primates, Hominidae. The transcript has 2 exons. The record is from RefSeq and is a predicted model, not a curated record.
CUGGGCUACAGAGCAAGACUCCAUCUCAAUUAAUUAAUUAAUUAAUUAAUUAAUUAAAAUAAAAAAUUAAUAGUAAGAGCAAUGUGAACAAAAGAUGCAAUAAAAUAAUUUAGAAAAUACAAACUAUUAAAAAAUAGAUUUUAAAACUUGUGCAACGAAGUCAAACAGCAGCCAACGAAAAUGUAUACCCUUACACGUUUGUUUAAAAAGCAAUUUAAAUUACAUUGAUCCACUAAACUAGGAAAAGCAAAACAAACAAAAAGGGGGAAAUAAUUAAGACCUAAGGAAAAAGAAAAACCACUAGAUUUAAAAAAUAAAACUAAAGGAGGAUUCUUUCAAAAGACUGAGAUAAUAAAACAGUCAAGCCUCUGAUAAGUAAUCAAGAUAAAGAAAACUUUGAAGAGAAAAGGGCAUAUAGCCACAUGUGAAUAUGAUGCAAAAAGUGAAAACUUUACACAUCUUUACAACACCUUAGAAGUAUGGAUGACAUGUUCAUUUUUUUUUUUUUUUUUUUUUGAGACGGAGUCUCGCUCUGUCACCCACGCUGGAGUGCAGUGGCGUGAUCUUGGCUCACUGCAAGCUCCGCCUCCUGGGUUCACAACAUUCUCCUGCCUCAACCUCCCGAGUAGCUGGGACUACAAGCGCCCGCCACCACGCCUGGCUAAUUUUUUGUAUUUUGGCUUAGUAGAGACAGGGUUUCACCAUGUUAGCCAGGAUGGUCUCUAUCUCCUGACCUCGUGAUCCACCCGCCUCGGCCUCCCAAAGUGCUGGGAUUACAGACAUGAGCCAUCGCACCCAUCCAAAGUGUUCAUUUUUUUUUAAGAACCUACAGUUACGAAAAGUAACUGAAGAAGUGGGAAAUCUGGAGACCAAUAUGCAGAAGAAGGAAAAAGACAAAGACUCAUCCUCCAAAUUGGAUAUUUAAACCAGAAUUUGUCAUCCUCAGCAAUAUUGAUAUAUUGGGCCAGAUAAUUCUUUGUGGAGGGUUCUCUUGGUGUGUUGUCGGGCAUUUAGUAACAUUCCCUCUACCCACAGAAUGCCAAUGAGACCUCCCGACCAUGACCAGUUGUGACCACAAAAAUGUCUCCAGAUAUUUCCAAACGUCCCAUAGGAGGCAAAAUACUCCUGCAGUUGAAAAUUACUGUGUAAACCAGAUCUACAUCCUAGAUCUUAGAAAAAAGAUGUAAAGCUUCCCAACUCAGCCCUGCAUGCCCUUGAUACUGAAAUAACAGCCUUAAAGGAAACAAACAAAACUAUAAUCUUAUUUAAUACAGAAGUAAAAAUGCAAAAAUAAAAUAUUACCAUAGCCAUUCUAACAGUGUUUAUUAUAGGAAUGCAAAGAUAAUUCAAAAUUAGGAAAAUUUCAUCAGGCAAUUCACAAAUUAUAUUUCUACAUAUAAUUGAAGGCACAAUCAUGAAAAACAAAGUAGCUCUAUAUGCAUUAAGUCCAUGAUCUAUUCAGUGAAAAACACAAGUUGCACAUGUCUUACAGAAGGAAAACUUAACACUGAACACAGAUUCUCACCAUCUGCUCUUUGUCCUGAGGCUCCAAUAGAAAUACAGUGAAGAAUAAACAUUGUAUAAGCACACCAUUACAAAAAAGGAAUGGGGUUACCAACAGAAGAGAAUUCAUCUUCAUUAGACAAUGACAGUACAUGGAAAAUGGUUAAUUCAUGGAGCAAAGCAACAAAGGUGGAGGUCAGGGGGAUACUGAGAACAAGGAGGCUAAUCUGUCCCACAGCAACCUGGAAAGGUUCUAGACUCAGACACGAGGUACCCCCGACAGUGGGACUGAUAGGCAAGACUGAAAACAGAGAUUAAGCAAAAGCCCGGAUAGAGAACACAUUUCACAGGCCCUGAAACACACUGCUAGCCCCAUCUCCUUAAACAGAACCCAAGCAAACGUAUCCACCUCAGGCAAGAGAAUGUAGAUUUUACAUCCAGAGGAAUGGAGUAGUCAUCCAGCCAUCAUUUAUGAUUGCAACAGGAGACAAGAUAGAGGGAUGGAGGAUAACAAUUAGGAAUCAGCAUACAUUCCCCUUAAAGCUAUCAGUUGACAAGUCUUGGCCACAAAGAACUCCCAAUCAAUUUUUAUUUAUUUUUAUUUUUAUUUAUUUAUUUAUUUAUUUAUUUUGAGACAGGGUCUUGCUCUUUCGCCCAGGUUGGAAUGCAGGAAUGCAGUGGCAUGAUCAGAGCUCACUGCAGCCUCAACCUCCUGGGCUCAAGCAAUCCUCCUGCCUCAGCCUCCCACGUAGCUGGGACUGCAGAUGGGUGUCACCACACCUAGCUAUUUUUUUUUUUUUUGUAAAGAUGGGGUCUCACUAUGUUGCCCAAACUAGUCUUGAGCUCCUGGGCUCAAGUGAUCCUCCCACUUCGGUCUCCCAAAGCACUGAGAUUAUAGGUGUGAGCCACCACACCUCGGCUCCCAGUCUUUUAGUACCUCUCUCAAAUAUGAAUGAACAAAUAAAGGAAUGGAAAAAAGACUACAGGUCAGGCACGGUGGCUCAUGUCUGUAAUCCCGCACUUUGGGAGGCCGAGGUGGGUGGAUCACCUGAGGUUGGGAGUUCCAGACCAGACUGACCAACAUGGAGAAAUCCCAUCUCUACUAAAAAUACACAAAUUAGCUGGGUGUGGCAGCACAUGCCUGUAAUCCCAGCUACUUGGGAGGCUGAGGCAGGAGAACUGCUUGAACCUUGGAGGCAGAGGUUGUGGUGAGCCAAGAUCACAUCAUUGUACUCCAGCCUAGGCAACAAGAGCGAAACUGGGUCUCAAAAAAAAAAAAAAAAAGACUACAAAUGAUAAGCAACAUAGAAUAGAUAUUUAAGGAAAGGCUUUAAAAAGAAAAAUAAGACCAAAAUAAACUAAGAAAAAGAUUAUUAAAGAACAAGGAGAUGCCAGGGAGAAGACAAAGAGUAUCAAAAUCACUUCAUAAAGACACUUGUGAAUAUAUUACAUGUAUAAAACAAAACAAUAUGAAUAAGAAAUAAUCAGAGAAGAAAAAGUUCUUAGAACUCAUGCUCCAUCUUGGGAGUUGGUCUCCAAUGAGCCAUACCUCCUGUCAUCAUGUCCUCAGACAGGCCCAUCCCAUAGUCAAUCUGGGUUGGCCCCAACACUCACUUUAACCUAUAGCAUGUGGUAGAAAUGACACUGGACCUGUUCCAGGUCUAAGCCUUAAGAACUCCUGGCAGCUCCAUUUCUGUGCUUCUGGAAGCCAAAAAUAAGAAUUGGCUACCUUCUUGGAGAAAGGAAAGCCACAUGAAGAGAUCCGAGAGGAUGAGAUGCUAUGCAGAGAGAAAGGCCACAUCAAGAAUUACCAAGGCAGCAGACCUGUGGGUAAAGAAGCCGUCUCAGACAUUCCACUGCAGCUGAGCAUCCAGAUGACCAGUCCCUGACACUGUUUAACCACACAGUGAGAGCUGCCAAAUGAGACCAGCAGAAAAACUGUCCAGCUAGCCCCAGGUAAUCCAUACAGUCGUGACAGAUAGACAGAUGUGUAGUUUUAGGCCAUUAAGUUUUGGGAUAAUUGGUUAAGCAACAAUAAAUAACCGAAACAAAACUUAAAGUUAUGACAGUCCAAAUAAAAUUUCCUGAAAGUCGAAAGAUAAGAAAAUAUUCCAGAACUGAAAAUUUAAAAAACAUUUAGAAAUAACGUGAGAUAUAAGACUCAAGACAAGAGGUCUAAAAUCCAAUUAACAGACACUUCCAAAUGAACAAAUAAAAUGGAAAAGAGAAAGUUAACAACAAAAAUAUGACAAGAUUCAAGACUCCAACUUUGAAAGAGCCUAUCCAUAGGCCUGUUCAUUUGGUGUACCCAGCAUAAUGAAUGAAAAAAGACCCACACUAAGUACACUGUUGUGCUAUUUCAGCUCACCAAGGAAAAGACAAACUCCUAAAAGCUUCCAGGGAGAAAGUCAUGCAUAAACAAGUGAAACUCAGGAUGGCAUGAGGCUUCGCCACCACGACUGGUUAGAAGACAACAGCACAGACUUUGAAAUUCUAAGGUGUUUUUCACAGGGCCAGUGGAUUUCACAAUGUGAGUGCUGUCCAGCACCAAAGGGAAUGGCCAACAGGCAUGGAGUAGCCUACAGCGUCCAGCACCCAGUAGGAUGGCCAGGAGGCACGGAGCAGCCUGCCUGUCCCAGGAAAGCAGGAGUCACAGGACACAACUGGACCCAGGUAGGCAUGUAUGUUACUUUCCUGUGGCUGUUAGAGCAAAUUACCAAAAAUGUGGUGACUUAAAACAACAGAAAUUUAUUUUCUCACAGUUUUGGAUAUCAGAAGUCCAAAAUCAGUAUCACUGGGCUGAAAUCUAGGUCUCAGCAGAGCCAGUGCUCUCAGAGGCUGAGGGGAAAAUCCAUCCUUUGACUUGCGCAGCUUCUGAUGGCUGCUGGCAUUCAUUGGCUUGCAGCUCCACCACUCCAGGCUCUGCCUUCUUGGUCACAGGGCCUCCUUCUCUUCUGUCUGAAGUUAAAUCUCCUUUAUCUCCCUCUUAUAAGGAUAUAUGUGCCAGGAUUUAAUGCCCACGGAGACAAUCCAGGAUAAUCUCUCCUCAAGAUCCUUAACUUAAUCAUACCUGAAAAUAUGCUUUUUCCAAAUGAGGUAACAUCUACAGGUUCUAGGAGUUCCAGACCAGCCUGGACGACAUGGUGAAACACGGUCUUUUUUUUUUUUUUUUUUUUUUUUUUUGAGCGGAGUUUCGCUCUUGUUUUCCAGGCUAGAGUGUUUUCCGGUCUCGACUCACCGCGGCCUCCACCUCCCGGUUAGGUGGUUCUCCUGCCUAAGCCUCCUGAGUGGCUGGGAUUGCAGGCAUGAGCCACCAUGCCAGCUAAUUUUGGUGUUUUUUUUUUUGUACAGACGGGGUUUCUCCGUGUUGGUCGGGCUGAUCUCAAGCUCCUGACCUCGGGUGAUCCACCCGCCUCCGCCUCCCUGGGUGCUGGGAUUGCAGGCGUGAGCCACCGCGCCUCCGGUCCAAUUUAGUAACCAAAAAGGAAUAGAUCGGCCUGGCGUGGUAGCUCAUGCUUGUGAUCCCAGUACUGUGGACGGCCGAGCGCGGCGAUCGAUUGAGCCUAGGACUUCCAGACCGGCCUGGGCAACGUGGUGAAACACUGUCUUU